AUAACUUACCCUUAGGACUGGGAUAACUCUGGGAAACUGGGGAUAAUACCGGAUAUUAGGCUAUGCCUGGAAUGGUUUGCCUUUGAAACGUUCUUUUCGCCUAAGGAUAGAUCUGCGGCUGAUUAGGUCGUUGGUGGGGUAAUGGCCCACCAAGCCUAUGAUCGGUACGGGUUGUGAGAGCAAGAGCCCGGAGAUGGAACCUGAGACAAGGUUCCAGACCCUAUGGGGUGCAGCAGGCGCGAAACCUCCACAAUGUACGAAAGUGCGAUGGGGGAAUCCCAAGUGUUAUUCUUAACAGAAUAGCUUUUCAUUAGUGUAAAAAGCUUUUAGAAUAAGAGCUGGGCAAGACCGGUGCCAGCCGCCGCGGUAACACCGGCAGCUCGAGUGGUAGCUGUUUUUAUUGGGCCUAAAGCGUUCGUAGCCGGUUUGAUUAGUCUUUGGUGAAAGCUUGUAGCUUAACUAUAAGAAUUGCUGGAGAUACUAUCAGACUUGAAGUCGGGAGAGGUUAGAGGUACUACCGGGGUAGGGGUGAAAUCCUAUAAUCCUGGGAGGACCACCUGUGGCGAAAGCGUCUAACUAGAACGAUCUUGACGGUGAGUAACGAAAGCCAGGGGCGCGAACCGGAUUAGAUACCCGGGUAGUCCUGGCCGUAAACGAUGUGGACUUGGUGUUGGAAUGGCUUCGAGUUGUUCCAGUGCCGAAGGGAAGCUGUUAAGUCCACCGCCUGGGAAGUACGGUCGCAAGACUGAAACUUAA
RNAcentral lists this ribosomal RNA (756 nucleotides) under uncultured archaeon. RNAcentral's name for it is "bacterial SSU rRNA". It matches the Rfam family "Archaeal small subunit ribosomal RNA", at positions 104 to 859 of the family's 1478-position model. The record is from RNAcentral.